UAUUGGGCGUAAAGCGUCCUCAGGCGGUCUUGUAAGUCUGUCGUUAAAGCGUGGAGCUUAACUCCAUUUGAGCGAUGGAAACUGCAAGACUAGAGUGUAGUAGGGGUAGCAGGAAUUCCCAGUGUAGCGGUGAAAUGCGUAGAGAUUGGGAAGAACAUCGGAGGCGAAAGCGUGCUACUGGGCUGUAUCUGACACUCAGGGACGAAAGCUAGGGGGGCGAAAGGGAUUAGAUACCCCUGUAGUCCUAGCCGUAAACGAUGGAUACUAGGCGUGGCUUGUAUCGACCCGAGCCGUGCCGAAGCUAACGCGUUAAGUAUCCCGCCUGGGGAGUACGCACGCAAGUGUGAAACUCAAAGGAAUUGACGGGGGCCCGCACAAGCGGUGGAGUAUGUGGUU
RNAcentral lists this ribosomal RNA (396 nucleotides) under uncultured Microcystis sp. RNAcentral describes it as "bacterial SSU rRNA". It matches the Rfam family "Bacterial small subunit ribosomal RNA", at positions 552 to 946 of the family's 1533-position model. The record is from RNAcentral. Lineage: Bacteria; Bacillati; Cyanobacteriota; Cyanophyceae; Chroococcales; Microcystaceae.